UUUUUAUUGGCCUCUAUAUUUUACUGUUUUACAGCAGCUAGCCUGAUCUGAUGUGAACUGAGGAUCUUGAUGACAACUGAGAUUGCAGAUAAGAAUACAAAGUGCGUACUUAAAAGUUUGAUCACCUUGAUGGAGACUUGGCACACUCAUAGUAACUACAGAAGUUCUGAGAGGCACAUCCAAAGGUGGUUUCAGUCUGAACAGAUUCAGAUCCUUGAAGUUUCAGAAAUGCAGGUUGCGUCCUCUCCUGGAUAAUCCUACAGCAGUUGGCAUCUCUGUUUUUUUUUAAAAAAAUAAUAUUAGCGUUGGUUUUCAUUUGGCCAAGGAAAGUUAACAUGGUACAAUAUCAGCAAAAAUUUUCUAUACAUGUACUGACACUGUAGAUUAGAUCUUAAUCAUACCACUGCCAUGUGUAUAGGCGUGAUGAGUGAUGACCGGUGACCGAUGAGUUGGAGUUGUUAGGGUAGGCCUAACUCGAGGUACCUCAAUUGUUGUUGCCUGUUGUGCUGGUAUUGGCUGCUGUUUGGGUCCCAGAAAAUCUCCAAACAAGGCAAGCCAAACCUCAUAUAUAUGACACCAUCUACAGAAGAAAACACUAUUUAGGUUCCAUUUAAAAUUAGGAUAUUUCAUAGUAAUUAGAAAAUAUAUAGCUUAAUUUCUGCUGCUGCUGAGCAGCAACAACAAUAGAGCUUGUAUUUGAAAAAACGGUACUUAAUGGUUUUUUUUAGUUCGACUAAAUGCUGGAGUACUUAGGUGAGUGAUACCGUCGUCACGAUCCAUUGUCCCUAACAUAGCUGUCAUUUUGUCUUGAUUUCUCUCCUGAUUAUGCAAUUGCCAU
Long non-coding RNA from Oryza brachyantha (malo sina), 838 nucleotides. RefSeq lists it as uncharacterized. The transcript is spliced from 3 exons. The record is from RefSeq and is a predicted model, not a curated record. NCBI's taxonomy places the organism in Eukaryota, Viridiplantae, Streptophyta, Magnoliopsida, Poales, Poaceae.